Antechinus flavipes (yellow-footed antechinus) is the source of this 2989-nucleotide long non-coding RNA. RefSeq lists it as uncharacterized. The record is from RefSeq and is a predicted model, not a curated record. The transcript is spliced from 2 exons. Lineage: Eukaryota; Metazoa; Chordata; Mammalia; Dasyuromorphia; Dasyuridae.
AGCAACCCUCUUCCAUUGGUUGCCAAGUUUUGUCAAUUUUCCGAUGUCUCUGACCUCCAUCCCUGUAAGGCCUCUAAUCCAGGCCCCAGCUCCGGCUCUUACCACCUGCUGGGACCAAUGUCCUAUCAUUUGGUCCCUUCUCUACUGGGUUCUCCCUCCUCCAUCUAGUUGUCACCAUGACCUUUCAGAUCUGACGUCACUGCCUCCCUAAAAAAACCAUUAGGGUGGGGCAGAGCCCCAGCCCUGAAGUCAGGAGGACCCGAGUUCAAAUCUGACCUCAGACACUUAACCCUUCCUAGCUGUGUGACCCCCAGCAAGCCACUUAACCCCAACUGGCUCAGCAAGCACAAACAAAAACCCAUCAGGAUUCCCUAGUGCCUGAAGGAUAGAAAUGCCCCCCUUACUUUGGCACUGAAGACCCUAACCCUCCUGCUUCCCUUUCUACUAACCUCCCUUUACUAUUUCUGCCAACUCAUAUUCCAUCUCUAGCAUCCCAGUCUCCUGUGCCUGGAACCCCUCAGGUCCAUAUUUUGGGUUGGCUCAGAGCUCUCUUCUGGUCCGCCCCUCCUGGGAAGCCUUCCCUGUUGUCCGGGCCCUCUUUUUUCUUUCCGGAUCACACAGGGGUCCCAAAGGUCUGAGUGCCUCUGUCACAUUGAGAUGCGACCUGUGUUCUCCACCUAGAACCUAAGGCCCCCAACUUCCAAAUGAGAAAACACCACCGUCUGGGCCGGGCUGCCACUAACCUGGGUCUGCUCCCCUUUCCAUUCGCGCCACUCCAGGCUUUGGCCCACCCGCUACUUCCUGGUCAGCCUCGGAGGUACCUCUCUGGGCCUCCAGCAGCGCAGUCUCCAUUAUACGCAAGCACAGUGGGUGGGGAGUGAGUUCUAGUCGGAGGCUUUAUUUGGCCCUGUGAAGUCUGGGCUGUCCAGGAGGAGAGAAGGGAGCGCAAAAUGCCCCAGCGCCGUUCUCUCCCCUUUCCCGGCGCCCUCUCCGCUGGGCGCUCCCUCCGCUGGGCGCCCCCUUCCAUGCCCCAGUACUUUCCCCUCUCCAGGCAAAGCCACGUCCCAGCAAACCGCCCUUGGGUGGGUGUUUUCUCCACGCUCCCCAGCCUUCCAACUCGCAGUCAGGCAUCGGCAUGAAUCAUUAAUAACGGCUGAAAGUGUUCCCCCUCCUAAGGGGAGUUGUCAUUUAAUAGGGAGAACAACGCGGUAACCUGAAGAAAGGCGCCUCUAACGGAAGGAGGACGGGGGAGGAUUUCUGGAGGAACCGGGAGUUUCCGCAGCAGCUGGCGGCGCCCUGCCCAGGUGAGACGUGACCCGGGAAGCAGGGCCGGGGCAGCGCGGCCGCGGCGGCCCCCCCCCCCCCCCCCGGGGCAGCGCGCUUUCAGUCCCGCCGUUCCUCCUCCCCCUCACGCGCGGCAUCGGCGCUCAGUCCGCCCCACCCCUGGUAAGCGACACCACGGGCGCACGAGCCAACACACACCUGCGCCAGAAGCUACAAACCCAGCUACCAAAGAACCGGGACCGCAACAAGAGAAUGGGGCCGGUUCGGGGGCCUGGCCGCGGAGGGAAGCUCCCCGGACCCGGGCCGCCCCUCAGUCCCCGGGCUCCCGCAGCCCCCAGGAAGGCCGAAGCGCCCGCGCAGUGACCCGGGGGAGACGCCUCAGCCCCGCCCCCUCAGCCCCGCCCCCUCACUGUCCUAGCCCCGUUGAUUAGCGCCGGGCUGGGAAGUCCGCUCGGCGCGGGACAAGUUUUCAUUCGAGCUCUUCCCUGCCUAGAGUCUGACUUUUUUUAGCCUUAACCCAAUUUCUCUCGGGCCUCGGCAGGAUGAACCACCCCCACAGUACGUUUAUUGCGCCCCCAGCCUUCCCUGCCCGCGAGGUACUGCAGUCUGGUGGCAGAAGCGGCAGACUGGGGUCCGAGGGUGAAAGCGACCCCAGCAUCAACAACAAUGUGGCGCGGGGGAGCGCGCGCUGGGCCUGCAGCCAGGGAGACCUGCAUUGGGAUUCGGCCUCAUCACUCCAGCAAGGGUGAUUCAGACCAGCUCCAUUGGUCUUGUAAUGGAGAGCCAUCUGCACCCGGAGAGAGGCUGUGGGGACUGAGUGGGGGCCACGACGUAACAUUCUCACUCUUUCUGCUGUUGUUUUCUUGCAUCUUGUUUUCUCUCAUUUUUUCCCUCUUUGAUCUGAUUUUUCUCGUGCAGCAAGAUAAUUGUGGAAAUAUGUGUACAAGAACUGCACAUGUUUAACAUAUUGGAUUACUUGCUGCCUAGGGGAGGGGGUGGGGGGAAGGAAAGAAAAAAAUUUGUAACACAAGGUUUUGCAAGGGUGAAUGUUGAAAAUUAUCCAUGCACAUAUAUUGAAAAUAAAAAAAAUUAAUUAAACAUUUUUUUAAAUGGGGAGACAUGUACUAAGAAUGGCAUUGGAUUUGGAGUCAGGAGAUUUGGGGUUGCAUCCUGGUCAAGUCAUUUCAACUUCCAGAGCCUCAGUUGCCAUAUCUAUAGAAUGGGGAUAAUCCUACUUUUCCACAGAGGACUGUUGUGAGGAAAUCAUUUUGUAUACCUGAAAAUGCUAAGUUGAUACAUUCUUCCCUGACUAAGACUGACAGCCAAGCUUGGCUCCAUCUGGAUUCUAAGUACUGUCAGAUAUGGUUGAUAACAAGGGCUGGCUUGGCUUAGCUGUUCCCUCCCCCACCUCUUUCUGAUUCAGUCUUUGCUCUAAGGGUGGGCCUCUUGAAUAGGGUGAGGAGGCAUAUGUUCCGAAAUGAGGGUGAUGCAAAAAAUAAGAUAUCAAAAAGUAUUCUUAUUAUGUGAUGUAGGAGCACCGAUGCAGAGCAGGACUCCAGACCAUUAAGUCCAAUCUCCUCGUUUGACAGAUGAAGAAACUGAGGAAAGCAGAGUUAGGCCCUCUCACUCCACAUCCAAAAUUCUCCACUGUACCACAAUUCCUAUGCUAUUAAUAAAAGAUGCCUAAAGUGGCUUCCAGUGCCAA